GUCUUGUGUGACAAGCGCCUUUGUGUGAAGGAGGAACAGAUGUGUCUCCUCUAGCACCCGUGGCUGAUCCAAUCAUUCCCUGCCCAGAUGCGAAAACUGAGGCCCAGAGAGAAAGCAAGUGAUUUCCGGUAGCACAGCGCUCGUUUUGGCAGGGUCUGGACUAGGACCCGAUUUUCUUCAUUUCCAGUUUACGUGAUACGGUGAAAUUGAAGCCUAGAGUGGGAUUUGAACCCAGAUCCGUUGGCCCCUGAGCCAGUGUUCUUUGUAACAUGCUCAAAAUGGG
Molecule: long non-coding RNA, 283 nt
Organism: Vombatus ursinus (common wombat)
Lineage: Eukaryota; Metazoa; Chordata; Mammalia; Diprotodontia; Vombatidae
Exons: 3
Source: RefSeq, a predicted model, not a curated record